GGAAUUUGUGUGCAAGCAGAAAUAACACAUGGCCUGUUACAUAUGAGAGCAGCAGAUUGAACAGAAGAGUUCACAGUGGCUCUGAAGCUUUCCUAAUAACAGCUUUGAGUGGAAAGAAUUACCAACAUAAGUCAAGCCAUGAAAAAACUCAUCCAUGUCCAAUUGUCCAAAGUAAAUGGAUGGAACUGGAGAACAUCAUUUUCAGUGAAGUUAGCCCGGCACAGAAGGCCGA
Molecule: non-coding RNA, 232 nt
Organism: Castor canadensis (American beaver)
Lineage: Eukaryota; Metazoa; Chordata; Mammalia; Rodentia; Castoridae
Source: RefSeq, a predicted model, not a curated record